Molecule: ribosomal RNA, 441 nt
Filed under: uncultured bacterium
Lineage: Bacteria
Description: partial 16S ribosomal RNA
Rfam family: Bacterial small subunit ribosomal RNA
Source: RNAcentral
CCUACGGGUGGCAGCAGUGGGGAAUAUUGCACAAUGGGGGGAACCCUGAUGCAGCGACGCCGCGUGAGCGAGGAAGUAUUUCGGUAUGUAAAGCUCUAUCAGCAGGGACGAAAAAAGACGGUACCUGACUAAGAAGCCCAGGCUAACUACGUGCCAGCAGCCGCGGUAAUACGUAGGGGGCAAGCGUUAUCCGGAUUUACUGGGUGUAAAGGGAGCGUAGACGGCAAGGCAAGCCCGAAGUGAAAGGGUAGGGCGCAACCCCGUACGUGCUUUUGGAACUGGGGUGCUAGAGUGCAGGAGAGGUAAGUGGAAUGCGUAGUGUAGCGGUGAAAUGCGUAGAUAUUAGGAGGAACACCGGUGGCGAAGGCGGCUUACUGGACUGUAACUGACGUUGAGGCUCGAAAGCGUGGGGAGCGAACAGGAUUAGAUACCCUUGUAGUC